UUCAACUUAUACAACAUACAUCUAAAGAUGAUAAGAUCAAGACCAUAAUAAGAAUUGUGAAAUAGGCUUUACUUCGAUUUCCGCCUCAUCAUUUGACAACUCCUCUUAAAUAGUCUUCUUUGAAUUCACAUGUGUAUGGAAUAGAGGAGUGAAUUCACAGUCUUCCGUUUGUUCUUUAGGAAAUGCUACUUCUUCUGCACAAAAUAAAAUAAAAUAGAGGAGUGUAAUUUACUUAUAUACAUAGUUGAAUUUUGUGAGUGAGGAGCUUGAUUUACCUUGUCAUGAGUGUUGAUGAGUAAAAGAGGGAAAGAGAAAUAGAGAAAACUAAGAAGAUGGUGUAAAAGGAGAAGUUGGAAGGCCAUUGACCAGGGACGUGG
RNAcentral lists this long non-coding RNA (377 nucleotides) under Nicotiana benthamiana. RNAcentral describes it as "long non-coding RNA (NBEN_LNC040577)". The record is from RNAcentral. Lineage: Eukaryota; Viridiplantae; Streptophyta; Magnoliopsida; Solanales; Solanaceae.